GAUGAACGUUGGCGGUGUGCCUAAUACAUGCAAGUCGAACGGAGUUAAUAGCAAUAUUGACUUAGUGGCGAACGGGUGAGUAACGCGUUGGUGAUCUGCCUUGAAGUGUGGAAUAACGCUCCGAAAGGAGCGCUAAUACCGCAUGUGCUCUCAAUUUUUAGAAACUUGAGAGGAAAGGAUUUAUUCGCUUCGAGAGGAGCCUGCGUCCCAUCAGCUGGUUGGUAGGGUAAAGGCCUACCAAGGCAAUGACGGGUAGGGGACCUGAGAGGGUCGGCCCCCCACAAUGGAACUGAAACACGGUCCAUACACCUACGGGUGGCUGCAGUAGGGAAUAUUAGAAAUGGACGAAAGUCUGAUCUAGCAACACCGCGUGUGCGAAGAAGGCCUUCGGGUCGUAAAGCACUUUUUGGAAGGAAUAGGAAGGAAUGUACUUCCAGAAUAAGUCUCGGCUAACUACGUG
This 460-nucleotide ribosomal RNA is filed under the name uncultured bacterium. RNAcentral describes it as "bacterial SSU rRNA". It matches the Rfam family "Bacterial small subunit ribosomal RNA", at positions 28 to 507 of the family's 1533-position model. The record is from RNAcentral.